This 449-nucleotide ribosomal RNA is filed under the name uncultured prokaryote. Its description in RNAcentral is "bacterial SSU rRNA". It matches the Rfam family "Bacterial small subunit ribosomal RNA", at positions 355 to 796 of the family's 1533-position model. The record is from RNAcentral.
UAGGGAAUCUUCCGCAAUGGACGCAAGUCUGACGGAGCAACGCCGCGUGAGUGAAGAAGGUCUUCGGAUCGUAAAGCUCUGUUGUUAGAGAAGAACAGCGCAUAGAGUAACUGCUAUGCGUGUGACGGUAUCUAACCAGAAAGCCACGGCUAACUACGUGCCAGCAGCCGCGGUAAUACGUAGGUGGCGAGCGUUGUCCGGAUUUAUUGGGCGUAAAGGGAGUGUAGGCGGUCUUUUAAGUCUGAUGUGAAAGCCCACGGCUCAACCGUGGAGGGUCAUUGGAAACUGGGAGACUUGAGUGCAGAAGAGGAGAGCGGAAUUCCAUGUGUAGCGGUGAAAUGCGUAGAUAUAUGGAGGAACACCAGUGGCGAAGGCGGCUCUCUGGUCUGUAACUGACGCUGAGGCUCGAAAGCGUGGGGAGCAAACAGGAUUAGAUACCCCCGUAGUCC